UGCAUUCACUACUGUAAGUCGCUCUGGAUAAGAGCGUCUUCUAAAUGACUAAAA
Molecule: non-coding RNA, 54 nt
Organism: Salmo salar (Atlantic salmon)
Lineage: Eukaryota; Metazoa; Chordata; Actinopteri; Salmoniformes; Salmonidae
Source: Rfam